RNA transcript from Symphalangus syndactylus (siamang), 7213 nucleotides. It is a transcript of the gene named fidgetin like 1, with no coding region annotated. The record is from RefSeq and is a predicted model, not a curated record. Lineage: Eukaryota; Metazoa; Chordata; Mammalia; Primates; Hylobatidae.
CAAAGUUUAAUAAUUGAAUAGCUCAGGCACUAAACUCUUCCAUAUUAUUAAAAUACUAUUCUAAUAUGUCUCAUUUGUCAAAGAUGGAAAAGUCUUGAUAUGACAUAAGGGUUUCAAUCCCAAUAGGAGUAUUAACGGUAACAAUGAAAAUAACAUAGCAACAUGGUUUCUGUUGAAUGCCUGCCACAUGGCAGCAACUGCUUUGAUAAUUUAAGAAUUAUAUCUUAUGUUGAUUAUAAUCCUUAUAAUGGCUUCCUGGGUAAGAAAGGUUUAUUCCUGUUUUACAUUUGACGAGGAGACUAGGGUUCAGAGACGGUGCAGAAGUGAGUUACACUUUUGCCAACCAGGCCAGAAGAUGAAAGCUGCUGGAUUGGGAAAUGCUUUUGUAUCAAAAGCACAAAAUGAAGUGGCUAGUGUUACUUGUUGGAAAAAAGUUAACUUUGGCAAGCAUAAAUAUAAUUCAGUAUUUGGGCAAUACUUGUAGGAGGGUAACAGAGUGGGUUAUGUGAAUUCUCCAAAAUGCCAUCAUGAAAAUUUUGAUGAUGAAAAUCACCUAAAAUUGCUAAUUACCUGUCUUAGCCUGUCUAGGGCUACAAAGUACCAUAUGCUGAGUGGCUCAUAAACAAUAGAAAUUUAUUUCUCACAGUGGAGGCUGGAAGUCAGAGUGCCAGAAUGGUCAAGUUCUGGUGAGGGCUUUUCCAGGCUGCUGUCAACGCUUUGCAUCCUUAGGUGGUGGCAAGAGAGCUAGAAAGUUCUUCGGAGUCUCUUUUAUUGUAUUUUAUUUUUUGGAGACAGAGUCUCACUCUGUCUCCCAGGCUGGAGUGCCGUGGCACGAUCUCAGUUCACUGCAACCUCCACCUCCCAGGUUCAAGCAAUUCUCAGGCCUCAGACUCCUAAGUAGCUGGGAUUACACGUGCCCACCACCACACCUGGCUAAUUUUUGUAUUUUUAGUGAGACAGGGUUUUGCCAUGUUGGCCAGGCUGUUCUCCAACUCCUGACUCCAGGUGAUCUGCCUGCCUCGGCCUCCCAAAGUGCUGGGAUUACAGGCAUGAGACACUGGGCCCAGCCUCUGGAGUCUCUUCUAUAAGGAUACUUACUAAUCUCAUUCAUGAAGACUCCACUCUCAUGGCCUAAUCACCUCACAAAGGCUCCACCCCUUAAAACCAUCACAUUGGGAUUAGGAUUUCAACAUACAAAUUUUGGGGGGACAUAAACUUUCCAUCCCUAACAUUACCCAAAUAGUAUCUAUAUAGUCAUUUCUAAAUAUACACGUAUUUAGAAAUUUCUAAAUAGCCAGUAAACAUACAACUGACUUGGCCUUGAUAUAACUGUUCUCAUUUUCUUUUAUUUUCAUUCUACAUGACAUACUUUGGGUAAUUAUAAAAUAAUUAAAGUUAGUUGAUAAAGUAUGGAAUUAGAAUAAUUUUCUAUUACUAUCUAAGCCAUGAAAUGAAUUAGGAGCUGUUGUUUUCAGUGAAACGUCUUCUAGUUUUUAAAGUGCAUUGUCCAAUUCUUUUUUAUUUUGUGAAGAUUUUAAAAACUUAAAAAAAAUCUUCAAAUUGUUUGUGCCUUGCGUUUCUUUAAAUCUUGUGUUUAAACAUCAUGUGCUGCUAGUUGCUAGUCAUUUUCUCUAUCCCCUGCACCAGACCCUCUCUUUCUCAAGAAAGGAUAUCCAGGGAUCCGGGUCCCAGUUAGUCAAGGAGAUAUAAGAGGAAGGCUACGAGGCUUUCUGGGAAACAUUUUCUUUUUCCAAGAGAGAAGUGUGCAGAGGGAAAAGGUCCCUUCUCAGUUUGGCUCCCUGUUUGUGUUUUAGAUCUGGUCCUGUGAGGCUGCCUGGCUUGGACUGUGAGGGCAUCUCUCAACAAUGAGGUGACAAGCCUGGGGACGAAAAUCCACAGGCGAGAAGGUGGCAGAAUGGAGAGACGGUCCUUCAUGACUUCUUUGAGUCACCAGGUCCAGAUUUCCCGCCAACCUCCAGUCUUCUUGUUAUGUGAUCUGAUAUUAUUUACUGCAGAGGCCACUGAGUGGCUGCUCUGUUACUUGUGUCUGAAAAUCCAGUUCACUAAAUUAAUCAAAAUAUGGCACUCUUCUUUUGAAACCUUGCUCCAGAACAAAGUGGAAGGUAAUGAUGGGGUGCUUUUCAAAGUUCCAGGGAGGUGUCCCUACACAGCAGAGAGCUGUCCAGAGGAAUGUAGAUGUUGGCUGUGGGGAGAUCUGAGCUGCCGGAUUCAGUCAGAACAGGUGUCCUCUCCCUUAUUUUAUCUUAAACAUGCAUGUCAUUUUUGCAUGCUACUCUAUGCGGUUCUUUCAGCCAGGGAACAUUGCUGAGCACCCGCUGAUGUGCUUUAUGGAGCACAGACUGCAGGGUGCGAGAGGCGGAGGUGAGACGUGCUAGGCCUGAAUUCAAGAGGGGGAGCAGCCACAGUCCCCGCGAGGCCGGGGUGGCCUGUUGUAAUGACGUCUUAACCGCUGACCUAAGUGGAUCUGCUCCUCUCCCGCCGCCCGCUCCCUGCCAGCAGCACAGGAUGGCGGCUGGCUCUCCCGAGUGGGCGCAGGUGAGCCACGCUUCGCCCUCCCGGCUGGGCGCAGGUGAGCCACGCUUCGCUCUCCCGGGUGGGCGCAGGUGAGCCAUUGUUUGCUCUCCCGGGUGGGCGUAGGAGAUCCAUGCUUUGCUCCCCCAGGUGAGCCGCGGCUCGCUCUCCUGGUGAGGGCAGGUGAGCCACGCUCUAUGGGAAUCCUUCGAAUCUUCUUUCAAUUUCCAUCGCCUCCUUGUAUUUAUUUGGGAGUACUUUUAAAAAUGAAGCCUCUGCACAAUGAUGUAAUAAGCGUUUAUCGAACACCACUGGUCGGAGCUGGGGCCCAGGUGGUAGUUCCCCGCCCCAGGUGGUAGUUCCCCGCCCCAGGUGCCGCGUCCACGCCCCGCGCGCCGAACGCACGCACGCACGCACGCACUCACGCACGCACGUACGGCGCGAGCCCGAGGGCAACAGCAGCGCGCAGGCGCACAUCGGUCCCCGCGCUUUUCGGAGGUCGCCGGCGUCCCCGACCCGCCGCAGGUGAAAACCGGCAGAAAGACAUUAAGAGAUUUUCCUACAGUCACUACUGGCAGAUGAUAGAGCCAGGAUCUGAACGCAGGCAGCCUGGCUCCAGACCUUCUGCUCUUAACUCCUGUUUUGCAUCAAGAAUAGAAUCUUAUGAAAGGCCUGUACAGUGCUUGAUACUGAGUAGGCACUCAGUCAGUAUUUUAGUAGCUAUUAUUCCAAAGGAUACUGUAUUCUAGGUACUAAGACAAUGUGAAUGGAAUGGAAAACAAUUCCUCCCUGCAGAAGCCAACUAUCUAGUUAGAAAGACAGAUAAUCACAUUAUUAAAAUAAUCAGAACAUUGGCAAAAUAAAGAAGAUUGAAAUGCAGUUCAUAUGACAGUGCUAAUUAAUCAUACUUUUUAGAUCUGGGAAAGGCCAUAAAGGUUAAAUUGACUUGGAAAUGUAAACAAGACAAUGGUUGUGUCACUGAUCAGUGAUGACCAGUUUUUGGUUAUCCAUAUUUGCCAUUUAAAUGAUUGAAUUGAAAGGAAGAAGUAAGACUUGGAAAAUGAAUAUUGAAGGAAAGGUGAAGAUGGAAAGGAGAAGGGGGUUUAUUCUGAGAACAGUGACUAGAACUCGGAGGUAUGGUAGAAAUUUCAGGAUAACAGAUGAUAAAGUGGAAUGAAGCCAUGGAGAGGAAGAGAAUGAUAAUACUAAUUGUGAAAGUUUGUGUCAGGUGUUUUCCGAGUCACCUUUCUUUCAGUUUUUCAUUUCCAGUAUCGUAUAAAUGAGUUUAACAUCAAAAUGGUAUAGUAAAAAAAAAGGAUGAACUCCUUGACAGAAGAGGAUAGCAGCAUCAAGGAGCAUUGUGUACAUGCAGAAGUGCACAGUACCUGGAGUGAAACUGCUUGUGUUCGAUCACACACAUAACUGGCUGUGUGAUCUCAAAUAAGAAAACUGAAGAACCAGCUGGGCACAGUGGCUCAUGCCCGUAAUCCCAGCACUUUGGGAGGCUGAGAACCUCUAAAAUGCAGACCUCCAGCUCUAGAUCUGUGCACCUGAGUGAAUGGCAGAAGAAUUACUUUGCAAUUACAUCUGGCACAUGUACAGGACGGAAGGCAGAUGCAUACCGUGCACAGAUAUUACGCAUUCAGUAUGCAUGGGCAAACUCUGAGAUUUCCCAGGUCUGUGCUACCAAACUGUUCAAAAAAUAUGCAGAGAAAUAUUCUGCAAUUAUUGAUUCUGACAAUGUUGAAUCUGGCUUGAAUAAUUAUGCAGAAAACAUUUUAACUUUGGCAGGAUCUCAACAAACAGAUAGUGACAAGUGGCAGUCUGGAUUGUCAAUAAAUAAUGUUUUCAAAAUGAGUAGUGUACAGAAGAUGAUGCAAGCUGGCAAAAGAUUCAAAGACUGUCUGUUGGAACCUGCUCAUGCGUCAGUGGUAAUCCAUAAGGAGGCCACUGUCUUUGAUCUUCCUAAAUUUAGUGUUUGUGGUAGUUCUCGAGAGAGUGACCCAUUACCUAACUCAGCUCAUGAUCGAGAUAGGACCCAAGACUUCCCAGAGAGCAAUCCUUUGAAACUCCUUCAGAGUGCCCAGCCACCUGUGGUGACUAACACUGCUAAGACUUGUCCUACAUUCUCAGCACCUGUAGGUGAGUCAGCUACUGCAAAAUUCCAUGUCACACCAUUGUUUGGAAAUGUCAAAAAGGAAAAUCACAGCUCUCCAAAAGAAAACAUAGGACUUAAUAUGUUCUUAUCUAACCAGUCUUGUUUUCCUGCUGCCUGUGAAAAUCCACAGAGGAAGUCUUUUUAUGGUUCUGGCACCAUUGAUGCACUUUCCAAUCCAAUACUGAAUAAGGCUUGUAGUAAAACAGAAGAUAAUGGCCCAAAGGAGGAUAGCAGCCUGCCUACAUUUAAAACUGCAAAAGAACAAUUAUGGGUAGAUCAGCAAAAAAAGUACCACCAACCUCAACGUGCAUCAGGGUCUUCAUAUGGUGGUGUAAAAAAGUCUCUAGGAGCUAGUAGAUCCCGAGGAAUACUUGGAAAGUUUGUUCCUCCUAUACCCAAGCAAGAUGGGGGAGAGCAGAAUGGAGGAAUGCAGUAUAAGCCUUAUGGGGCAGGACCUACAGAACCAGCACAUCCAGUCGAUGAGCGUCUGAAGAACUUGGAGCCAAAGAUGAUUGAACUUAUUAUGAAUGAGAUUAUGGAUCAUGGACCUCCAGUAAAUUGGGAAGAUAUUGCAGGAGUGGAAUUUGCUAAAGCCACCAUAAAAGAAAUAGUUGUGUGGCCCAUGUUGAGGCCAGACAUCUUUACUGGUUUAAGGGGACCCCCUAAAGGAAUUUUGCUCUUUGGUCCUCCUGGGACUGGUAAAACUCUAAUUGGCAAGUGCAUUGCUAGUCAGUCUGGGGCAACAUUCUUUAGCAUCUCUGCUUCAUCCUUAACUUCUAAAUGGGUAGGUGAGGGGGAGAAAAUGGUCCGUGCACUGUUUGCUGUUGCAAGGUGUCAGCAACCAGCUGUGAUAUUUAUUGAUGAAAUUGAUUCCCUGUUAUCUCAACGGGGAGAUGGUGAGCAUGAGUCUUCUAGAAGGAUAAAAACAGAAUUUUUAGUUCAAUUAGAUGGAGUAACAACAUCUUCUGAAGAUCGUAUCCUAGUGGUGGGAGCAACAAAUCGGCCACAAGAAAUUGAUGAGGCUGCCCGGAGAAGAUUGGUGAAAAGGCUUUAUAUUCCCCUCCCAGAAGCUUCAGCCAGGAAACAGAUAGUAAUUAAUCUAAUGUCCAAAGAGCAGUGUUGUCUCGGUGAACAAGAAAUUGAACAGAUUGUACUGCAGUCUGAUGGGUUCUCAGGAGCAGACAUGACACAGCUUUGCAGAGAGGCUUCUCUUGGUCCUAUUCGCAGUUUACAAACUGCUGACAUUGCUACCAUAACACCAGAUCAAGUUCGACCCAUAGCUUAUAUUGAUUUUGAAAAUGCUUUUAGAACUGUGCGACCUAGUGUUUCUCCAAAAGAUUUAGAGCUUUAUGAAAACUGGAACAAAACUUUUGGUUGUGGAAAGUAAAUGGGAUACUUGGAAUCAAGGCAUCUCUGUAGUACAGUCUUUUUUAUUUUUUAGCAUAGAAAGUUCGGGAUGUGUUAAUUGUGUUUUUUAGAAUAUAUUCUGAAUUCUGUACUUCAAAUAAUAGCACAGAUUUUGCAACUGAUUGACAUAGUGUAUGUUAAUGUAAGUUUUGCUUUCCAGUGAUUACCUGAUAUGUAAGCCUGUUUGAACAAAGUGAGAAUGAACUUUUGUUUCUAAGAAGUCUUUCUUUUGAAGCUAUAUAACAUGAAAAGUGUGCUCAAAUUUUUUUUAGUUGAAGAUUACAAAUAAAGUUGUGUCUGAUUAAUAUUCAUCUUUUAUUGAAGAAAGUGCCUUCUGAUGGCCACAUAAUUCUUAAUGUCAGCUAAUAUAAUGGUUUACAUUUGGACAAAGUAUUGGUUAGUGUUAUUUAAGUAGAUUUAAGAUCUCACUAAAAGCUAAAGUGCCAAUUUUUACUUUCUUCAGCCAAUUUGUUAUCUCUUUUAUGGUUUUUAAUUUUUAUCAGGACUAACAUUUUCAGAAAUAGCAAGGUGUGAUCUAGUAUUAGAGAGAUAUUCACAGAACUGAAAGGUUAAUUAAGAAUGUUGGUUAUUUUCAGGGAAGUGUGUGAUACUUAAUAUUGUAUUUGACACUACAGCCUGUAAUACUGCUCUCUUUCAAAAAUAAGUGUUUUCAGAUUUUUAUAACAGACUCAUUUUGUUUUAUGAAACAUGUUCAUUACAGAAACAUGAGAAAAUAGAGAUAAGUAAAAAGAAUAAAAGUCACUGUUAUCCUACCACUUUGCGGGACGCACUAUUAAUAUUUAAGCAUAGAUUCUUCCAGAUGUUUUGUUUUAUACAGCAGUAGGGUUGUAUAAUGUAUUCCCUCUUGUAGCCUGCUCUUUAAAGCGUAUCUUCACUUUCCAUGUUAACAUAAAUGUCCUUUUAUGAUUGUCUAGGAUUCCAUGGAUGGAUGGACUAUAAUUGAGUCAUCUGGUAGAGUACAUACAGGACAGGACGCUAGGUUGUUUAUCUUUUGUUUAUUGUAAAGGAACUCUGUGGGAUGCAUUUGGUGAUCUUUUUUAAAAAUGUAUAAAUUUCUUGAGUAAUUCUUGGAUUAAAGAAUAUGUACUUUUUAAA